Molecule: ribosomal RNA, 612 nt
Filed under: Saccharomycopsis fibuligera
Lineage: Eukaryota; Fungi; Ascomycota; Saccharomycetes; Ascoideales; Saccharomycopsidaceae
Description: eukaryotic LSU rRNA
Rfam family: Eukaryotic large subunit ribosomal RNA
Source: RNAcentral
UGCAUAUCAAAUAAGCGGAGGAAAAGAAACCAACAGGGAUUGCCUUAGUAACGGCGAGUGAAGCGGCAAAAGCUCAAAUUUGAAAGCUAGCACCUUCGGUGUUCGCGUUGUAAUUUGAAGAUAGUUUCCUUGAGUAGUCCUUUAUCUAUGUUCCUUGGAACAGGACGUCAUAGAGGGUGAGAACCCCGUAUGAUUUUGGAUACUACUCUUUGUGGGAUUCUAUCGAAGAGUCGAGUUGUUUGGGAAUGCAGCUCUAAGUGGGUGGUAAAUUCCAUCUAAAGCUAAAUAUUGGCGAGAGACCGAUAGCGAACAAGUACAGUGAUGGAAAGAUGAAAAGAACUCUGAAGAGAGAGUGAAAAAGUACGUGAAAUUGCUGAAAGGGAAGGGCUUGAGGUCAGACUUGGUGUUUAAUGAUUAUCAGUUCUUCUUGGACUGUGCACUCGUUUUUCACCGGGCCAAUAUCAGUUUUAGCGGUAGAGUACCCCUUGAAAUGUGGCUUCCUUCGGGGAGUGUUAUAGUCUUGGGGAGAUCUACUUGCUGGGACUGAGGACUGCGCUUCGGCAAGGAUAUUGGCGUAAUGACCUUAAGCCGCCCGUCUUGAAACACGGACCA